GGGAGUACGCUCGCCAAGAGUGAAACUUCAAAGGAAUUGACCGGGGACCCGCACAAGCGGUGGAGCAUGUGGUUUAAUUNGACGCAACGCGAAGAACCUUACCUACCCUUGACAUGUCCGAGAGCCCGCAGAGAUGUGGGUGUGCCCGAAAGGGAAUCGGAGCACAGGUGCUGCAUGGCUGUCGUCAGCUCGUGUCGUGAGAUGUUGGGUUAAGUCCCGCAACGAGCGCAACCCUUGUCAUUAGUUGCUACAUUCAGUUGGGCACUCUAAUGAGACUGCCGGUGACAAACCGGAGGAAGGUGGGGAUGACGUCAAGUCCUCAUGGCCCUUAUGGGUAGGGCUUCACACGUAAUACAAUGGCGCGUANCAGAGGGUUGCNCAAGGAGCGAUCUGGAGCCAAUCCCGAAAAGCGCGUCGUAGUCCGGAUUGCAGUCUGCAACUCGACUGCAUGAAGUCGGAAUCGCUAGUAAUCGCGGAUCAGCAUGUCGCGGUGAAUACGUUCCCGGGUCUUGUACACACCGCCCGUCACANCCAUGGGAGUGGGUUUCACCAGAAGCCGGUCGCCUAACCGCAAGGAGGGCGCCGACCACGGUGAGAUUCAUGACUGGGGUGAAGUCGUAACAAGGUACC
Molecule: ribosomal RNA, 630 nt
Filed under: uncultured bacterium
Lineage: Bacteria
Description: bacterial SSU rRNA
Rfam family: Bacterial small subunit ribosomal RNA
Source: RNAcentral